Molecule: ribosomal RNA, 474 nt
Filed under: uncultured bacterium
Lineage: Bacteria
Description: partial 16S ribosomal RNA
Rfam family: Bacterial small subunit ribosomal RNA
Source: RNAcentral
AACGAACGCUGGCGGCAUGCCUAACACAUGCAAGUCGAACGAGACCUUCGGGUCUAGUGGCGCACGGGUGCGUAACGCGUGGGAACCUGCCCUUAGGUUCGGAAUAACUCCCCGAAAGGGGUGCUAAUACCGGAUAAUGUCUUCGGACCAAAGAUUUAUCGCCUUUGGAUGGGCCCGCGUUGGAUUAGCUAGUUGGUAGGGUAAAAGCCUACCAAGGCGACGAUCCAUAGCUGGUCUGAGAGGAUGAUCAGCCACACUGGGACUGAGACACGGCCCAGACAACGAGGGGGAGGAGGAGAGGAGAGUACGGCAGAGGGGAGGAAAGCGUGGUCCAGCGUGGUGGGGUGGGGUAAAAGGUCAUGGGGUUUGUAAUGCAGUUAGAGCUGGGCUGAUAACGAAAGUCCAGGGGAAAGAGGCACCGUCUACCGCCGCGACAGAAGCUGCGAUAAGAGGCGGAGGAGCAUCCGUCAGACC